Molecule: long non-coding RNA, 201 nt
Filed under: Elaeis guineensis (African oil palm)
Lineage: Eukaryota; Viridiplantae; Streptophyta; Magnoliopsida; Arecales; Arecaceae
Description: long non-coding RNA (EGUI_LNC004083)
Source: RNAcentral
AGUUUUGUUUAUUUUUCAUUGAACUGAAUUCGAAUUUGGGAUGUUAAGAUUCGAUCGAUCUCGAGUCAAAUUUCGAGUCUGAGUAUUUUGAAUCGAGUCGAACUCAAAUUUCCAGCUAUUCGACUCGAUCCGACUUGAUUGCAUCUCCAAUUUAAAAUCCAUAAAAUCAUGUCAUAAUAAAAUAAUAUUAAUAUCACACCA